GGCUUCGUAGCUCAAUUGGAUAGAGCAUCUGACUACGGAUCAGAAGGUUGCAGGUUCGACUCCUGCCGAAGUCA
Molecule: transfer RNA, 74 nt
Filed under: Saprospiraceae bacterium
Lineage: Bacteria; Pseudomonadati; Bacteroidota; Saprospiria; Saprospirales; Saprospiraceae
Description: tRNA-Arg
Rfam family: tRNA
About the family: Transfer RNA (tRNA) molecules are approximately 80 nucleotides in length. Their secondary structure includes four short double-helical elements and three loops (D, anti-codon, and T loops).
Source: RNAcentral